GGGGUGAAGUCGUAACAAGGUAGCCGUACCGGAAGGUGUGGCUGGAUCACCUCCUUAAAGGGAGACCUAAUUCAAGUAGGAGACGAAAAAAAAGUAGUCCCUACCAAGAAUCAAUCCCAAAAGGUCGGAGCGAGGCGAAAUUGGCUUUCAAACUAGGUUCUGGGUUCACACAAGACCUGAAUCAGGAACAAGGGCUAUUAGCUCAGGUGGUUAGAGCGCACCCCUGAUAAGGGUGAGGUCCCUGGUUCGAGUCCAGGAUGGCCCACCUGUACAGGUGGCAAAAACAAAGAAAAGAAGCUCCGAAUCAGCACCUUAUCUUAUUUAUAUAGUAAGAGAGAAUGCUGGCUCUGAGUAAAGAGUCCAGAGGAACCUUGAAAACUGCAUAGAGCUAGGUGUAAAA
RNAcentral lists this small RNA (400 nucleotides) under Microcystis aeruginosa MN. Its description in RNAcentral is "bacterial LSU rRNA". The stretch from base 192 to 265 matches the Rfam family "tRNA". The record is from RNAcentral. Lineage: Bacteria; Bacillati; Cyanobacteriota; Cyanophyceae; Chroococcales; Microcystaceae.